GGCCAGUUGUGGACAAAGUGUACAGUUCUCAUCAACCCAGGAAAUUUCACCAUGAUUAUUUUAAAAUGGUGAGCAGAUGGAUGAGGGACGAAAUCAUGUCAGUUUCUCAACCUUAACCGGCUAAGGGUGAUUCCUUCUCACGCCUUCAUUAACCUCAAAGGUGGUCCUGAUACUUCUGCUUGCUAAUCCAAACUUCUUUGGUAAAUGGAAUCAACUGUGGAGCUCUCUACCUUUUGGAAGGUGAGAAAGCUCACUGGGUCACCAAGGGCAA
This is a long non-coding RNA of Molossus molossus (Pallas's mastiff bat), 271 nucleotides long. RefSeq lists it as uncharacterized. NCBI's taxonomy places the organism in Eukaryota, Metazoa, Chordata, Mammalia, Chiroptera, Molossidae. The transcript is spliced from 3 exons. The record is from RefSeq and is a predicted model, not a curated record.